This 64-nucleotide transfer RNA is filed under the name Himaloaesalus gaoligongshanus. RNAcentral describes it as "tRNA-Pro". The record is from RNAcentral. Lineage: Eukaryota; Metazoa; Arthropoda; Insecta; Coleoptera; Lucanidae.
CAGAGAAUAGUUUAUAUUAAAAUUUUAAUUUUGGGGAUUAAUGAUGGGAGUUUCCUUUCUCUGA